UACGAAGGGGGCUAGCGUUGCUCGGAAUUACUGGGCGUAAAGCGCACGUAGGCGGCAGGUCAAGUCCGGGGUGAAAGCCCCCAGCUCAACUGGGGAAGUGCCUUGGAUACUGGCGUGCUCGAGGGAGGUAGGGGCCCGCGGAACUUCUGGUGGAGCGGUGAAAUGCGUUGAUAUCAGAAGGAACGCCGGUGGCGAAAGCGGCGGGCUGGACCUUUUCUGACGCUGAGGCGCGAAAGCCAGGGGAGCAAACGGG
Molecule: ribosomal RNA, 253 nt
Filed under: uncultured bacterium
Lineage: Bacteria
Description: partial 16S ribosomal RNA
Rfam family: Bacterial small subunit ribosomal RNA
Source: RNAcentral